This 254-nucleotide ribosomal RNA is filed under the name uncultured bacterium. Its description in RNAcentral is "partial 16S ribosomal RNA". It matches the Rfam family "Bacterial small subunit ribosomal RNA", at positions 524 to 776 of the family's 1533-position model. The record is from RNAcentral.
UACGGGGGGAGCAAGCGUUGUUCGGAUUUACUGGGCGUAAAGGGCGCGUAGGCGGCCACCGCAAGUCGACUGUGAAAUCUCCGGGCUUAACCCGGAAAGGUCAGCCGAUACUGCGGGGCUAGAGUGCAGAAGGGGCAACUGGAAUUCUCGGUGUAGCGGUGAAAUGCGUAGAUAUCGAGAGGAACACCUGCGGCGAAGGCGGGCUACUGGGCCGAUACUGACGCUGAUGUGCGAAAGCCAGGGGAGCGAACAGG